This 254-nucleotide unclassified non-coding RNA is filed under the name uncultured Acidimicrobiia bacterium. RNAcentral describes it as "contains 16S-23S intergenic spacer region". It matches the Rfam family "Bacterial small subunit ribosomal RNA", at positions 524 to 776 of the family's 1533-position model. The record is from RNAcentral. Lineage: Bacteria; Bacillati; Actinomycetota; Acidimicrobiia.
UACGUAGGGGGCAAGCGUUGUCCGGAAUCAUUGGGCGUAAAGAGCUCGUAGGCGGCUCAGUAAGUCGGGUGUGAAAUUCUCAGGCUCAACCUGGGGACGCCACCCGAUACUGCUGUGGCUAGAGUCCAGUAGAGGAGUGUGGAAUUCCCGGUGUAGCGGUGAAAUGCGCAGAUAUCGGGAGGAACACCAGCGGCGAAGGCGGCACUCUGGGCUGGUACUGACGCUCAGGAGCGAAAGCGUGGGUAGCAAACAGG